CCUACGGGAGGCAGCAGUGAGGAAUUUUUCGCAAUGGGCGCAAGCCUGACGGAGCAAUACUGCGUGGAGGAUGAAGGCUCGUGGGCUGUAAACUCCUUUUCCAUGAGAAGAAGCUCUGACGGUAUCAUGGGAAUAAGCAUCAGCUAACUGCGUGCCAGCAGCUGCGGUAAUACGUGGGAUGCAAGCGUUAUCCGGAUUUAUUGGGCGUAAAGCGUCUGUAGGUGGCUUCGCAAGUUUGUUGUUAAAUCAUUCAGCUUCACUGAAUACAAGCAGCAAAAACUAUGAAGCUUGAGUGUGGUAGAGGAAAAGGGAAUUCCCUGUGGAGCGGUGAAAUGCGUAGAGAUAGGGAAGAACACCAAAGGCGAAAGCACUUUUCUGGGCCUGCACUGACACUGAGAGACGAAAGCUAGGGGAGCGAGUAGGAUUAGAUACCCUAUUAGUCCUAGCCGUAAACGAUGGAAACUACAUUUUGGGGCUCUGGACGAGNAUCGCUCAUCUAUUCUUCUAGAAGUAGGCGAGCGUAACCGUACGUUGUUAAGUUUACCCGUUCCGUUCGGGUAAGGUUAGUUGCGUCGCGAGAGAGAACGUUACGAAGGAAGUUAGACGGCGUUGGAGGACGUAGGACGAACGGACGACGACGAACGGGAAGGUUAAGG
RNAcentral lists this ribosomal RNA (656 nucleotides) under uncultured bacterium. Its description in RNAcentral is "bacterial SSU rRNA". The stretch from base 1 to 549 matches the Rfam family "Bacterial small subunit ribosomal RNA", at positions 338 to 873 of the family's 1533-position model. The record is from RNAcentral.